GUUUCUGGCAAAUGGAACCCCCGGUCCUUACCUUGAAAAUAUCUUCCCCUCCCACACCAACAGCGGCGGGCGAGGCGCGGGGUCAGGCGGCGGCCGGCGCGGGUGUGCAGCGGCAUUGCGGGCCGCGUGCCUCGCCGGCGCGCAUACCCGCCGUCCCGCUUGCUGCUGGCCGCGACCCUGCCCUCAUGCCACCGUCGACCCGCCGGAUCUGGGCGAGGCGGCCAUACUGGCGUCGUUGCUCCCUACCCGUGGCCGGUCUGGCAAGGCGGCGCGCGCGGCCGGCUCGGCUUCGCCGCUCCUCGCCCACAGCCGGUCUGGCUGCGCCGUCGCCUGCCUAUGGCCUGCCCUACGCCCCGGCUCUUCGCCCACGGCCGGCCAGGCGGCGGCCGUCGCUCCCCGCUUGCGGCCAGACUGGCGCCGUUGAUUCUCGCCCGCGCAGGUGGUGUUGCUGGUGCCGCUGCUCCUCGCCUGCGGCCAACUCAGUGCUGCAGCUCCUAAAGAGCAGGAUGCGCACAAUCUCCCCGUCGGUAUCCUACCAGCCUUAUUCAUUUCCUCACCCCAUCCUCUCUCGCUCUCUCGCCACUUCUCGCGCUGAUACUUCCUCUUUCCGCCGCAACCUGGUUUGCGUCACCUUGACCGCCGUUGUUGCCAUGCCGGCUUUGCCCUAAGGCAUCACCAUCGCUGCUGGGUGUUCUUGUGCUGUUGCUGUUGGGGGCUUUCACUCCACGUUUCCUGUUCCGGCUUCGCUGCUGCAGCCUGCUUCAGCGAAGCUGUGCUCGCUUCCUGCGCUGUGCUGCUCCUAUGUGAGGAUAUUUUGUCUUUCCCGUGCCCAUAGCUAGGUGUAUAGCUUUGCUAUUAUUACAUUCUAAGAUGUACUUAUGUGCUGCUACUACAUGUUGUGCAUUGGUCUCAGCCUAAUUUCAUCUUACCUGUUUUGUUUGCCGUUGUGCCUAAUUUUUUUAUACUUUUGCUUUUUGUUUACCCUUUUAAGCAUUAGCAUCCAAGAAUUCAUUUCCCUGCUUGUAGAUCUAACUUCAGUAUAUAUGAAUACCUGGAUGUACAUCCAAUUUCAUUGCUGUGCAUUUAUGUAUAUCGCUUCUCUGUUAGCAUUCCAACCUCUAUUAUGGUUCCUCAUAUAAUUCGUGUGUUUAUAGAUCUAAUGAAAGUGUUGCAGAUUCAUGUACUAAUUGAUUCGCCUUUCAUCGGCAAGUUCAUUUUUGCUAUAUAUUUCCAUGUUCAAACUUUAUUGGUUUGCUUUUUAUAAUGCAGGUUCUGCCAUGUGAAAGAAAAUUUGAUUUGCCUACAGCUUUACUGUGGUACUGUAGAUCUGGAGUAUUAUCUUGCUCUGUGCUAAGAGAAAAUCUUGGGUUAGAUUGGUUGGUUUGUCAAGAGCGUAAUGAAAUUGCUAAACUUCUAUAAAGUAAUUGUUGUCUUGUAAGGAACUGCUAUUGUCUCAUGAUCAUUGAUCUGGUAAGCUACUGUUGUUGUGCUAUCACAUUCCUCCUUUCCUAUGUGAUGUUGGUUUUAUGAUGCAGUAUUUCCUUUGUUCCAACAUAUAUACACAUAUAUAGUAAUAUGCAAACAUAAGACAACAAGGUAUAUAUAUAUGUUCAUAUGCCCAUACAUGUAUUUGUGUGUGGCUAUACAAACAUUAAGGUAUAUAUGUUUUAUUUUUUCCUCAACCCUUUUAAUAGGCACAGUUUGAAAAUUAAGGAUGGCUAUUGGGCUGGCAUUGUUCUCUAAAUCCCUAGGAUAUUUUCUCUUAAAACAAAAUGGUCUCUUUCCUCAUCUAUGAUUAGUAUUUUGAUAUAUUUGUUAUUUUCUCCUUCUCUUCCUAUUCAAAUUGAUCUCUUAUCCACUUGCAUACCUUUUUUUUAAUAUGUUACUGCAUUACAUGUUAGUACUUUGUGAUUCUUCGAAAUUAAUAUGAUGGGAUCCUUUUUCUAAAUCUGCUUCGAUCAAAUUGCAUGCUCCCUAAUCUCAUAUUGUUCCACUCAGAGUUUGUAUAUUGCUAAUCCUUUUUCCUCUUUACUUUCCUUUAAUCUUUUCCCAUUUCUUCUUCUUUACUACCUAACAAUGUUUGAACACAUACAGAAAGGUCAAGCCGCUGCCUGCCGCCAGCCAUAACAUUGCAUCUAUCGCCGUCCUAUCUCCGCCUACCAUCUCCUGCGCAUGGCAAAGACCUCUACCUACUUCUUAUAGACUCAACCACUGCCUUCA
Panicum hallii is the source of this 2220-nucleotide RNA transcript. RefSeq lists it as uncharacterized. The transcript has 3 exons. Lineage: Eukaryota; Viridiplantae; Streptophyta; Magnoliopsida; Poales; Poaceae. The record is from RefSeq and is a predicted model, not a curated record.